UACGUAGGUGGCAAGCGUUGUCCGGAAUUAUUGGGCGUAAAGCGCGCGCAGGCGGUCCUUUAAGUCUGAUGUGAAAGCCCACGGCUCAACCGUGGAGGGUCAUUGGAAACUGGGGGACUUGAGUGCAGGAGAGAAGAGUGGAAUUCCACGUGUAGCGGUGAAAUGCGUAGAGAUGUGGAGGAACACCAGUGGCGAAGGCGACUCUUUGGC
Molecule: ribosomal RNA, 210 nt
Filed under: uncultured bacterium
Lineage: Bacteria
Description: partial 16S ribosomal RNA
Rfam family: Bacterial small subunit ribosomal RNA
Source: RNAcentral